RNAcentral lists this ribosomal RNA (301 nucleotides) under uncultured bacterium. Its description in RNAcentral is "partial 16S ribosomal RNA". It matches the Rfam family "Bacterial small subunit ribosomal RNA", at positions 509 to 809 of the family's 1533-position model. The record is from RNAcentral.
CAGUCGCCGCGGGAAAACGUAGGUGGCAAGCGUUGUCCGGAAUUAUUGGGCGUAAAGCGCGCGCAGGUGGUUUAAUAAGUCUGAUGUGAAGGCCCACGGCUCAACCGUGGAGGGUCAUUGGAAACUGUUAAACUUGAGUGCAGGAGAGAAAAGUGGAAUUCCUAGUGUAGCGGUGAAAUGCGUAGAGAUUAGGAGGAACACCAGUGGCGAAGGCGGCUUUUUGGCCUGUAACUGACACUGAGGCGCGAAAGCGUGGGGAGCAAACAGGAUUAGAUACCCCCGUAGUCCCUGUCUCUUAUAA